This 625-nucleotide long non-coding RNA is filed under the name Equus caballus (horse). RNAcentral's name for it is "lncRNA (ENSECAG00000046624.1)". The record is from RNAcentral. Lineage: Eukaryota; Metazoa; Chordata; Mammalia; Perissodactyla; Equidae.
AUAUCUUAGUUGCAGGUCCUUCUAGUUGUGGGAUGCGGGACGCCGCCUCAACGUGGCCAGACGAGCGGUGCCAUGUCCGCACCCAGGAUCCCAACCCUGGGCCGCCGCAGCGAGCUAGCGAACUUAACCACUCGGCCACGGAGCCGGCCCCUAAAGUUAUCAUCUUUGUGUCAAUAGAAUGGACAAAUUCUGAAGAGAAUUAGGAAGGUUAGCCCUGAGCUAACAUCUGCUGCCGAUCUUCCUCUUUUUGCUGAGGAAGAUUGGCCCUGAAAUAAUAUCCAUGCCCAUCUUCCUCUAUUUUACAUGUGGGACGCCUGUUACAGCAUGGCUUGAUAAUCGUGCCUACGAUCUGAACCAGCAAACCCCGGGCUGCCGAAGCCGAGUGCCAGGACUUAACCACUAUGCCACUGGCCACCCCCGGGAUAAGUCAAGAAGGACAAUUAUGGCCCCGGCCUCUGGGGUGGAUGGUGCCUCUUACUGAGAUACAGAACACGGAGGUUUUAUGGUUCAGGUUCCAUCAUGUUGAGUUUGUGGUCUGAGGGACAUUGGCUCAGAGCUGUCCAGUGAACAGUUGGCUCCAUGGCACUCAGGAGGCAAAUCUGGCCCGGAUUCAUAGCAAACUGAA